CCCUUAGAUGUUCUGGGCCGCACGCGCGCUACACUGACGAAGUCAGCGAGCAUGUCCUACGCCGACAGGUGCGGGGAAUCUUGUCAAACUUCGUCGUGAUGGGGAUUGAUUAUUGAAAUUCUUGAUCAUCAACGAGGAAUUCCUGGUAAGCGCAAGUCAGCAGCUUGCGUUGAUUACGUCCCUGCCCUUUGUACACACCGCCCGUCGCUACUACCGAUUGAAUGGUUUAGUGAGAUCUUCGGAUUGGCGCCACUGCGGCUCAGCAAUGGGCUCGGUGGAUGCCGAAAAGUUGAUCAAACUUGAUCAUUUAGAGGAAGUAAAAGUCGUAACA
RNAcentral lists this ribosomal RNA (331 nucleotides) under uncultured eukaryote. RNAcentral's name for it is "partial 18S ribosomal RNA". It matches the Rfam family "Eukaryotic small subunit ribosomal RNA", at positions 1470 to 1796 of the family's 1831-position model. The record is from RNAcentral.